GACGAACGCUGGCGGCGUGCUUAACACAUGCAAGUCGAACGGAAAGGCCCUGCUUUUGUGGGGUGCUCGAGUGGCGAACGGGUGAGUAACACGUGAGUAACCUGCCCUUGACUUUGGGAUAACUUCAGGAAACUGGGGCUAAUACCGGAUAGGGGCUCCUGCUGCAUGGUGGGGGUUGGAAAGUUUCGGCGGUUGGGGAUGGACUCGCGGCUUAUCAGCUUGUUGGUGGGGUAGUGGCUUACCAAGGCUUUGACGGGUAGCCGGCCUGAGAGGGUGACCGGCCACAUUGGGACUGAGAUACGGCCCAGACUCCUACGGGAGGCGGCAGUGGGGAAUAUUGCACAAUGGGCGGAAGCCUGAUGCAGCAACGCCGCGUGCGGGAUGACGGCCUUCGGGUUGUAAACCGCUUUCGCCUGUGACGAAGCGUGAGUGACGGUAAUGGGUAAAGAAGCACCGGCUAACUACGUG
RNAcentral lists this ribosomal RNA (468 nucleotides) under uncultured bacterium. RNAcentral's name for it is "partial 16S ribosomal RNA". It matches the Rfam family "Bacterial small subunit ribosomal RNA", at positions 28 to 507 of the family's 1533-position model. The record is from RNAcentral.